GAUGAACGCUGGCGGCGUGCUUAACACAUGCAAGUCGAACGGAAAGGCCCAAGCUUGCUUGGGUACUCGAGUGGCGAACGGGUGAGUAACACGUGGGUGAUCUGCCCUGCACUUCGGGAUAAGCCUGGGAAACUGGGUCUAAUACCGGAUAGGACCACUUCUUGGAUGUUGUGGUGGAAAGUUUUUUCGGUGUGGGAUGAGCUCGCGGCCUAUCAGCUUGUUGGUGGGGUAAUGGCCUACCAAGGCGUCGACGGGUAGCCGGCCUGAGAGGGUGUACGGCCACAUUGGGACUGAGAUACGGCCCAGACUCCUACGGGAGGCAGCAGUGGGGAAUAUUGCACAAUGGGCGCAAGCCUGAUGCAGCGACGCCGCGUGGGGGAGGACGGCCUUCGGGUUGUAAACGCCUUUCGCUAGGGACGAAGCGUUUUGUGACGGUACCUGGAGAAGAAGCACCGGCUAACUACGUG
Molecule: ribosomal RNA, 467 nt
Filed under: uncultured bacterium
Lineage: Bacteria
Description: partial 16S ribosomal RNA
Rfam family: Bacterial small subunit ribosomal RNA
Source: RNAcentral